Molecule: ribosomal RNA, 492 nt
Filed under: uncultured bacterium
Lineage: Bacteria
Description: partial 16S ribosomal RNA
Rfam family: Bacterial small subunit ribosomal RNA
Source: RNAcentral
AGUGAACGCUGGCGAUAGGCCUAACACAUGCAAGUCGAACGGCAGCACAGUAAGAGCUUGCUCUUACGGGUGGCGAGUGGCGGACGGGUGAGGAAUACAUCGGAAUCUACUUUUUCGUGGGGGAUAACGUAGGGAAACUUACGCUAAUACCGCAUACGACCUACGGGUGAAAGCAGGGGAUCUUCGGACCUUGCGCGAUUGAAUGAGCCGAUGUCGGAUUAGCUAGUUGGCGGGGUAAAGGCCCACCAAGGCGACGAUCCGUAGCUGGUCUGAGAGGAUGAUCAGCCACACUGGAACUGAGACGCGGUCCAGACUCCUACGGGAGGCAGCAGUGGGGAAUAUUGGACAAUGGGCGCAAGCCUGAUCCAGCCAUACCGCGUGGGUGAAGAAGGCCUUCGGGUUGUAAAGCCCUUUUGUUGGGAAAGAAAAGCAGCAGGUUAAUACCCCGCUGUUCUGACGGUACCCAAAGAAUAAGCACCGGCUAACUUCGUG